Molecule: long non-coding RNA, 267 nt
Filed under: Mytilus galloprovincialis (Mediterranean mussel)
Lineage: Eukaryota; Metazoa; Mollusca; Bivalvia; Mytilida; Mytilidae
Source: RNAcentral
GGGAUUAAUAUCAAUGAUAUGGCAUAUUAACACUAUUAUAAAGGAGGAAAAUCAAUAACUUAAUGUGAAAAUGUCUCAUUAUUGUAAUCUUCCGUCUCAGGUGCAUGAUUACCUUAUUAGAUGAAUUGUUGGCCUGUUUACAUUAUUCCUUCAGGAAUACUUGAAUUUGAUUCUGCAAAGCCAAAGUGGGAAGGGAAAAUCUUAGGCUAAUGAUAUGUCUGAUCUCUGGUACCUUUUCAAUUUAUCAAACAUAAUUUUGUCUUACAU